Molecule: long non-coding RNA, 145 nt
Organism: Dryobates pubescens (Downy woodpecker)
Lineage: Eukaryota; Metazoa; Chordata; Aves; Piciformes; Picidae
Exons: 4
Source: RefSeq, a predicted model, not a curated record
GGGGCAAGCUACUCUGGCAGCAGCAGUUCUUAUGGUCAGCAGGGUUCCCAAGGUAGCCAGUCCUAUGGCCAGGGCUACCAACCUCAAGGUGGCAGCUCCUAUGGCCAGGGCUACCAGCCUCAAGGUGGCAGUUCCUAUGGUCAGG